AGGGGUUAUGAGAAGGUUUGCAAAUUAAGAGAAUAAUGAUCUUCGGUUUCUGACCUCCUGGCACGGCGGCAGUAUUUAUCAGGAGGCGCAUGUGACUAGUUAAGACACAGAGCCCCAGCUUGAAGGAAACAGCUGCUGGCGGCGUGCUCUGGCACUUGGCAGCUGGACAGGCAGGGUGCUGAUGUGAGGAAUACCGAGACAAAACCACCCCAGUUCUCCAAAGUACCUGUUAUUCAGGCUGGAUAAAAACUUCUAUAGAUUGUGUCCCCAGUGCAUUUUCUGAUGAUGAUAAGUGCCCUUAAAAUUCUUUCAGACCUGAAUAUCUAUCUGUGUGAAACUGAUAGCAUCUUGAAGUAUAAUUAAGGAC
Molecule: long non-coding RNA, 367 nt
Organism: Diceros bicornis minor
Lineage: Eukaryota; Metazoa; Chordata; Mammalia; Perissodactyla; Rhinocerotidae
Exons: 3
Source: RefSeq, a predicted model, not a curated record